UGGCUCAGAGGUUAAAGCGUCUGCCUCUAAUGCAGGAGACCCGGGUUCCAUCCCUGG
RNAcentral lists this transfer RNA (57 nucleotides) under Bos taurus (domestic cattle). It matches the Rfam family "tRNA", at positions 8 to 63 of the family's 71-position model. Rfam says of the family: Transfer RNA (tRNA) molecules are approximately 80 nucleotides in length. Their secondary structure includes four short double-helical elements and three loops (D, anti-codon, and T loops). Further hydrogen bonds mediate the characteristic L-shaped molecular structure. tRNAs have two regions of fundamental functional importance: the anti-codon, which is responsible for specific mRNA codon recognition, and the 3' end, to which the tRNAs corresponding amino acid is attached (by aminoacyl-tRNA synthetases). tRNAs cope with the degeneracy of the genetic code in two manners: having more than one tRNA (with a specific anti-codon) for a particular amino acid; and 'wobble' base-pairing, i.e. permitting non-standard base-pairing at the 3rd anti-codon position. The record is from Rfam by way of RNAcentral. Lineage: Eukaryota; Metazoa; Chordata; Mammalia; Artiodactyla; Bovidae. RNAcentral also lists the same sequence under 1 other name.